AUAUUGCGCAAUGGGCGGAAGCCUGACGCAGCGACGCCGCGUGGGGGAUGACGGCCUUCGGGUUGUAAACCUCUUUCGCCAGGGACGAAGAGCAAUUGACGGUACCUGGAGAAGAAGCACCGGCCCACUACGUGCCAGCAGCCGCGGUAACACGUAGGGUGCGAGCGUUGUCCGGAAUUAUUGGGCGUAAAGAGCUCGUAGGCGGUGUGUCGCGUCGGCCGUGAAAACUUGGGGCUUAACUCUGAGCGUGCGGUCGAUACGGGCAUCACUUGAGUUCGGCAGGGGAGACUGGAAUUCCUGGUGUAGCGGUGAAAUGCGCAGAUAUCAGGAGGAACACCGGUGGCGAAGGCGGGUCUCUGGGCCGAUACUGACGCUGAGGAGCGAAAGCGUGGGGAGCGAACAGG
This 404-nucleotide ribosomal RNA is filed under the name uncultured bacterium. RNAcentral describes it as "bacterial SSU rRNA". It matches the Rfam family "Bacterial small subunit ribosomal RNA", at positions 361 to 776 of the family's 1533-position model. The record is from RNAcentral.